Molecule: ribosomal RNA, 479 nt
Filed under: uncultured bacterium
Lineage: Bacteria
Description: partial 16S ribosomal RNA
Rfam family: Bacterial small subunit ribosomal RNA
Source: RNAcentral
GAUGAACGCUGGCGGCGUGCCUAACACAUGCAAGUCGAGCGACGAACCGGGGCUUGCCCCUGGGGUGAGCCGCGAACGGGUGAGUAACACGUCGGUGGCCUGCCGCGAGGGUGGGGACACCUCUUCGAAAGGGGGGCAAUAACCCAUGGUUCCUCAUGGCGGAAAAGAGGGUUCAGCCGCCUCACCGGGAUGGGACAGCGCCGGAUUAGCUUGGUGGAUGGGUGAUGGCUUAGCUAGGCGAGGGUGCGAAGCGGGACUGAGGGGACGAUCAGCCACACUGGCACUGAGACACGGCCCAGACUCCUACGGGAGGCAGCAGUGGGGAAUCUUGCACAAUGCGCGAAAGCGUGAUGCAGCAAAGCCGCGUGAGGGAAGAAGGCCUUAGGGUUGUAAACCGCUUUAAGUUGGGAGGAGGGUAAGUUCGUGAAUAGCGGAUUGGAGUGACGGUACCUGCAGAAGAAGCGCCGGCUAACUACGUG